This 494-nucleotide ribosomal RNA is filed under the name Staphylococcus sp. HMSC067F07. RNAcentral's name for it is "bacterial SSU rRNA". It matches the Rfam family "Bacterial small subunit ribosomal RNA", at positions 1045 to 1533 of the family's 1533-position model. Lineage: Bacteria; Bacillati; Bacillota; Bacilli; Caryophanales; Staphylococcaceae. The record is from RNAcentral.
AUGGUUGUCGUCAGCUCGUGUCGUGAGAUGUUGGGUUAAGUCCCGCAACGAGCGCAACCCUUAAGCUUAGUUGCCAUCAUUAAGUUGGGCACUCUAAGUUGACUGCCGGUGACAAACCGGAGGAAGGUGGGGAUGACGUCAAAUCAUCAUGCCCCUUAUGAUUUGGGCUACACACGUGCUACAAUGGACAAUACAAAGGGUAGCGAAACCGCGAGGUCAAGCAAAUCCCAUAAAGUUGUUCUCAGUUCGGAUUGUAGUCUGCAACUCGACUACAUGAAGCUGGAAUCGCUAGUAAUCGUAGAUCAGCAUGCUACGGUGAAUACGUUCCCGGGUCUUGUACACACCGCCCGUCACACCACGAGAGUUUGUAACACCCGAAGCCGGUGGAGUAACCUUUUGGAGCUAGCCGUCGAAGGUGGGACAAAUGAUUGGGGUGAAGUCGUAACAAGGUAGCCGUAUCGGAAGGUGCGGCUGGAUCACCUCCUUUCUAAGGA